Long non-coding RNA from Lucilia sericata (common green bottle fly), 5762 nucleotides. RefSeq lists it as uncharacterized. The record is from RefSeq and is a predicted model, not a curated record. Lineage: Eukaryota; Metazoa; Arthropoda; Insecta; Diptera; Calliphoridae. The transcript has 14 exons.
CGCGUGUGUGAAGAAGAAGCACCCAAACAAAAAAAUUAACAAUGGAAACAACGAGGUUCUGAUGGAUUUCUAUGGCCGUAUAAGGGGAUUUUAAAUAAGGGAUCAUGUUGGCUGCCUUGGGCCUAUAUAAAAAACUGAUGGCCGAUUCUGAAAGAUGGCGGAUCGAAGCAGAAUGAAAUGGUUUUGUUCCAGAUUGGCUGGUGGACUAGGCAUUAAGGUGGUUCCGGAAAUUUAAGCCAAUAAAAUUCAAUUGGACCUGCGAUUUGGCCUUGGUUUGCUGCUUCCGUUCAGAAAAGGACUUAAUCGUAGGAAUUUGGUAGAAAUGUUAGAAAUUCAGAUGGGACCUGGACCGGAAGACUGAAGGCGGUAUAUGGUCCCAAUUAUUAUUCUAAAAACGUUUUAAUCAUCCAAUUUUGGUUCCUGAAGAACUAGCCAACUGUAAGAUCGAGAGGAAAAUUUCUCCAGUCAACGGAAAUUUAACCGCUUUCGGCAUAGCUCUGAGCAGUACAUAUAUCGUUAGGUGGUCUAGGACGAUGAAUAUGUAAGCGUUUCCGUUUCUUGACCGUGGAUAAGGCCCCAAAAAGUCUAUAAAGAUCUUCUGGAAUGGUCGUUCCGUUGUAGAUUCAGCUCCCAUUGGUGGUCUUAGGAUCGAAUUCGAGGGUUUUGUCUCGCGACAGGUUUGGCAAUUGGCCACAAAUGAUCGGACCUGAACAUUCUGGUUGGGCCAGUAGAAAUAUUCCCUUAACCUUCGGAGCGUUUUACUAAAACCUCCAUGAGCGGCUUGAGGCGGAUUGUGGCACUUCACAAUUACUUCUUGAGUAAGCUCUAGUGGAACCCAUAACUUCCAGGCAAAAUCUUCGUUUAGCGGCACCCCGUCAUAUGGGAGUACCCGCUUAUAAACCAGGUCAUCCACGACCUUCAAAUCAGGCAGGCUUUCAGCAUUUUCCUUGAUUUUGGCGAUUAAGUCCAGAUACUUCCUCCAUGUCAUACCUCGACAAUGUGUCGGGAACGAUAUUUUUGGAUCCGGGCCGGUGUUCGAUGGUAAAGGUAAAGGCCUGUAGAUGUAAGCUCCAUCGGGCUAGUCUGCCACUGAGGUCUUUGUGGGACAUAAGCCAUUUUAGGCUGCUAAGGUCCGUGAUGACUGUAAAUGGCAAAAGUUCUAUAUAAGGCCGGAAUUUCUUAAUGGCCAUCACUACGGCCAAGCACUCUCUCUCGGUAACCGAGUAGUUCUUCUGUGCACUGGUCAAUUUGUGAGAGAAGAAGGCUACUGGAUGUUCGCCGUCGUUUUCGUCCUUCUGGAACAGAACUGCUCCCAAACCUAUGUCUGAUGCAUCGCAUUGGACAUAAAAGUGCCUGUGGAAAUCGGGAUGCAUAAGCACUGGUGCUGUUGUGAGGGCGGACUUUAGCUUGUCGAAGGCUUCCUUAGCUUCGUCUGGAAAGUUGAAACCUUUUCCUUUCUUAAGGGUGUUAAAAAUAGGUGUUGAUAUGGUAGCGUAGUCGGGGAUGAAGCGCCUAUACCAACCCGUAGCUCCCAUGAAGCUUCGGACCUGUUUGGCGGUUUUCGGGUACUUCAACUCCUUGAAGCAAAAUUUCGACUUCCCUACGUUGAUGGUCAGACCCGCCGAAUCCAGGCAAUGCGCUACCCGAUCCAGCAACUCCAGGUGAGUCUCAAAGUCUGGAGAUACGAUCAAAAGGUCAUCUAGAUAGACGAAAACUCUAUCACGAAGUGCUGAAGGGAUCACUUUGUCCAUCAGACGACAUAACCUUUGGGCUGCGUUACACAACCCGAAAGGCAUGACCGUAAAAUGGUAAAGUGGUCGCCCCGGCACCGUGAAUGCAGUCUUCUCCCUACUAGAUGCAUCUAACGGUAUCUGCCAGAACGCGUCUUUGAGAUCCACGCUGGAUAUGAAGAACGUAUCCCCUAACCGACUGAGCAGACCUUCGAUGCGCGGCAGCGGAUACACGUCCUUGACCGUGAGGGCAUUUAGCUUACGAGCGUACAGACACAAUCGGUUCUUCUCGCCCCUACGGACGAGAGUAACCGGAUGGCUCCAAGGACUCUCGCUCUGCUCUAUGACCCCAAGCUCAAGCAUCCUAUCCAGCUCUGGAUACAUUAACUUCUGCACAGCCGGUGAGACGGAAUAAUGCCUGUCCUUCACUGGGAUCGCGUCGCGGGUAUCGAUUGUAUGGGUUUCGAGGGAAGUCUGACCGAGUACCUUCUUUGAGAAACACGGGAAUUUUGCUACCACCACAUCUAAUGCCGCCUUUUGCCCAGGAGUAAGAAUAUGGGUUUUGGUUACAUCCUUCGUCUCCUCAGACUCCGGACACAAAUUAACCCCGUUAGUAGUAAUGCUACAUAUACUAGGAAACAGACCGAAACUUUUCAUAAAAUCUACCCCUAAAAAUAGAGGCCUAUUUAAAGACAAAAAUUUAAAAACUUGAAGACCGGAUUCCUCCACUAACUCCAUGCAGCCCUUACCUAGGCAAGACACCGUGGCUCCACUGUCUAACAGCCCAUCAAUCUCACAACCAUUUAUAUUUUUCUUUAGAUAAAGUCUAGCAUCCUUGCCCUCAUACAAACUCGUAGACAAAAUUUCAUUCUUGAUCUUCUUUCUAAUUUUAUACCUAAGUCUAGCUUUCUGAAUUCUAUUCGAUACUUGACCAAAAAUCCUAGAUUUUGCUUCAGCGUAUUCCCGAAUUCUUUGAUGAAGCGGUUUAAUUAUAUGAACUUUAGGUUGUUCAUCGGCAGGCAUUAUGCGUACAGUAUUAACUAGAAUUUUAGUCGGUCUAAAGUGUUCGAUACCAGGGUCAACCGGGAUUAAGCUAGGGUUGAACGAGUCUCCCCCGUUUGGGACUCGCUCCCCUUCAGGUUUCCCUGACAUUUAGGGCACUUAGGAGUGACUACGUCAUCCCUACCACAUCUAAAACAAAAUAUGCGUCUAUUAGGUGAAGGACAAUCCACGAAACUAUGGCCUGGCUGCUUACAAUUCCAGCAAAUAUACCGGCUACUAGUGGCUAAGGCGUCGAUUUCGAGGAUUGGUAUAGGCACUUCAUAUCCGAAGUGGAGUUCAUGGACUCGAGCUGGGCCGGGUUGUCUAGACUGGAAAGUCUGCCUCUGACUGGUGAUUAAAUUUUCAGCUCUUUUCGCCUGUUGACAGAACUCAUUGAGACUAGAAGUGGUCACGGAAAAUAGUAGAUGUGACAAUGACGGCUUUAGAUUACUUUUCAUAAUCUCCACUAGGUCUCGUUCAGAAUAGGGGUUUCGCUGUUGAUUUCUUAGCUUCAUCACACCAUUGUAAAAACUUUCAAAGCUUUCCAUCGGCAUCUGGCGACGAUCCAUAAUUUGUUUUUGUAACUGGAACUCGUUCUCAAAUCUUCGGAACUGGGUAAGGAAUGCUCCCAUCAACUCAUCCCAGGACUGUAUUGGCCUUAACUUACGUAGGUUCCAAUACCAGUCCAGCGCCUGGCCUUCUAGCAGAUGAUUAAAACCUCGUAGGACGUCAUUGAACGCGCAGUUGUAGUCCUGUCUUAGAACGUCUACUCGAAAAAUGAAAUCUUCAGCACUCAUGGACUUCGAGGUUCCGUCGAACUUAAUGCCCCAUUUGGACAAAUCCACCUUUCUUUGAACGGCGAAUGCGCCGUCAGUAGGCCAACUUGGAGCUUGUGAGGAUUGAAUUGGUGCUGGAAAAACUGGAUUUGCAUUUGGUGGUACAUAAUGCGGCUGUGCGUUAGCUGCUUGUCCUUGGGUUGGUUGAAAAUCAUUUUGCAACUGGUAAUUACUAGCAGGUGGUUGCUGCUCUACAGGCUGAUGGUUAAACACUGCAUUUGGCUGUCGAACAGAUGUUCGCGGCUCCGUUGGUUGAAGGACCGAUAUCGGCGGAUUAGCUGGAGCAGCAGCAUUGCCGAAUUCCUGUUGCAAUUCGGUUCGCAACUGCCGUAUUUGUCGUUGCAAUUCCUCCCGCACAAAAGUAAACAUAUCGCCUCCUGUGGUGACGAUGUUAACAGGUUGAGGAGCUGUCGGCGGGACAUUUGCUCGGAACUCUUGUUGCACAUUCCUGGCGGUGAUACUGCUGUAGUCAGGCGAUGUAAUCGUGCUGUUGGAGAUGGCAGACUCAUUUAAAAACCCAGAACGUUCAUGGGCCAUAGACAUGAAUUGUUGGACCGCCGGCAUGACGGUCGAUGCAGAGGUAGUAGUUGUCGUAGCUGUGUUGGCAAUCGUAUACGUCGGAUGCGCCGUGGGAACUACAGUUCCUGCAGUCGUGCGUGUAAUGUUCUCCAUAUUGGAAAUAUUAUUAUGCUCAGUUUGUACACGAGUCCUAGCCGAGCGAGUUAAGACCAUUCCUAAUGAAUAGAAAUCUAGUUGGCGGAAUGACCCCACAAUAAAAUCUCAACCAAAAUAACAAAAUAUAAUAAAAUAUCAAAUUGAAGAUUUGUAUAUAUAACAGACCGCUAGUAAAAAAAACUAUUUAUCUCUAUGAUAAAUAUUAGCAAAAUACUAGAAGAAAUUCCUCCUCUUUCCCAAAGGAAAACUAAAAAAAAUCAAUUCUAAAGAAAGGAAGUAAAGAUUCAAAAACUAAAUCCAAAACGUUCGUAACGACAAAGCUAAAACGUUCUACAAAAAAACUCAAAAUCCAAAUCCAAAAGAACCAAAGAUAAAUCUUGAAAUCUCAAAUUAAAUAAAAUCUUACUAUCGGCGGUGUAUUUCAGGAAAGUAAAGUUUUCAGGAGAUGCAGACAUUAAAUGAAAUUUAAAUGGGCAGAAAAAACAUGGCAUUAGUUUCCAACAGCUCCAGAUUAGAGUGCAGCUAGAAUUUUGGUUGGCUAUCCUAUAACUCCUAGGACUACUCUAACCACUUUACUGAGGACCAAAACAUACAUUUUUUUUUCAAACAAAUACCAUUAGGAUUAUUGUUAAAAAGGGGGCUGGCCUUAGCUAUUCUUUCUUCACAACUUGAGCAUUCUCAGAUUUGUUAUGGAAAGCUAUUCCGAGAGCCUCAAAUUGUUUGGAAAGGAUAGGCUGAAGAAUCUGUAAUUCUGCAUGACCAUAUUGUUCACACCACACGUCGCAACGCGAACUAGACUAAAAUGUCCUGUUGUCCGGGACUUACGUAGGUGUGUACAAUAUUGACCAUGAGCAAUUAUAGCUUCCCAUCUAUUGAAAUGGAGAGAAGUAAAAACUAAAUUUACUAUUUCGUCCGACGACGUCGCAACAAUUAGGGACUCUAGGUAUGACCUAACAGGACUUACGUUGACAUGACUAAAUAGGAUUAGAAAACUGACUAAUGAUCAGGCUAUGGACCUACUCGGGCCCCACGUUGGGCGCCAUUUAUGUAGUGUAGUGGUUGUGCAAAACAAAAGAAACUAGUGUUGCCAGGGUGGUAGCAGCGCUGGUAUGCUCGCGUUCGCCGGGCUUGGAGCUCGCCGUAUGGGGGUGGUUCUUGCUACCACUCUAGACAACUACACACACACAUAAAAACCAUACCAACUAAAAGAAAUAAACGAAAUAAAAUAUAAAGGGGCACCGAGUAGGUUUCUGUCUGUCUCCCUGAUGAAACGUACCUACGACCUAUAACGGCUGGCAGAUGUUGUGCCAGGAUAAACCCUCCCACUCGGGAUUGGAUAAUACCGCCAUGACAUCCUAAUAUUAGGGAUGUCCCAAAAUUUACCCUGCAAACUUUCCUUUCCCUACUUACCGCCGCUUAUGUUGUUUAACCGAUCAUUUUAAAUGAUUAAAACUUUUUAAAAUUUCAUCUAAACAUUAUA